Oncorhynchus tshawytscha (Chinook salmon) is the source of this 447-nucleotide long non-coding RNA. NCBI's taxonomy places the organism in Eukaryota, Metazoa, Chordata, Actinopteri, Salmoniformes, Salmonidae. The record is from Ensembl.
UGAUUAAUCUAAUGCUACACUGGACACGAUGAUGGUGAACAUCCUGUAGGGAUAUGCACAUCCCAGCAGUCAUCCCUGUGCUCAAUUAGCUUGCAGCAUUUUAAGUGUGUUACUCCCCGUCCACUCUGCGGCGGAUCCAAGAGAGAGCACCGGAGGGGAGAGCGAGGGGCGCUGGGACACAUAGUCACGUUGCUUCCACUCUGCACCUGCUGCAUCAUGGGUAACGUCGCUGGCAAGGACGACCAUGGCCCUACAGGUUCCCUACAUGAACGUACACACACACACUCUCUCUCAGUGUCACAUGUCAUUAUAUUAAACUCUGACAGUAACUCUGAUUAGAACCUUCUCUUCCUGUUUCCCAUGUUUCUACAAUAUUUCCUUUCAAGCUGUUUGUACUCCUACACAAUUUGUUCAUGAUCUUUUAUGCCUCCCCUUCUCGAUCUGUCU